GGGUAGUCCUGGCCGUAAACGAUGUUCACUAGGUGUAGGAUGUCGACGGGCAAACUUUGCUGAAGCAAACGCGAUAAGUGAACCGCCUGGGGAGUACGUCCGCAAGGAUGAAACUCAAAGGAAUUGACGGGGGCCCGCACAAGCGGUGGAGCGUGUGGUUUAAUUCGAAGCUAAGCGAAGAACCUCACCAGGUCUUGACAUAUAGGGAGUAGGGAAGCGAAAGCGGACCGACCCCAGUUACUAGGGAGCCUAUACAGGUGGUGCAUGGUCGUCGUCAGCUCGUGCCGUGAGGUGUUGGGUUAAGUCCCGCAACGAGCGCAACCCUUGUUUUUAGUUGCCAGCAUUAAGGUGGGCACUCUAAAAGAGACUGCCGUCGAAGAGACGGAGGAAGGGAGGGGACGACGUCAGAUCAUCAUGCCCCUUAAUGAUCUGGGCUACACACGCGCUACAAAUGGGGUUAGGCAGAAGGGCGAAAACUGCGAAGUGGAGGGGGAAUCCUAAAACUAACCCCAGUUCAG
RNAcentral lists this ribosomal RNA (518 nucleotides) under uncultured prokaryote. Its description in RNAcentral is "bacterial SSU rRNA". It matches the Rfam family "Bacterial small subunit ribosomal RNA", at positions 788 to 1296 of the family's 1533-position model. The record is from RNAcentral.